Peromyscus californicus insignis is the source of this 1950-nucleotide long non-coding RNA. RefSeq lists it as uncharacterized. The record is from RefSeq and is a predicted model, not a curated record. Lineage: Eukaryota; Metazoa; Chordata; Mammalia; Rodentia; Cricetidae. The transcript has 2 exons.
CCACCCCCAUAAUUCUAGAGUUAGAGCCCAGGGUCUCAGGCAUGUGAGGCAAAGUAUCUUCCCGGAGCAAAGUUAAUGCUGAGGAAGUUUGGAAGAAGCCUGUUCCAGAGUUCCCUGAAGCUAUGUGUGGUAGUGCACGCCUGUUCCUCCAGCACCUGAGGGCCGAAAGCAGAGGGUUUAAAGUGGGAAGCCAACGUGGGCUUUGUGUGCUUCAAAUAAAGAAGAGGACAGAGUUCUUUGAACGCCAGUCUACUGAAAACUAAAAUGGAGUUCCAGAAAACACUGUGUCCCAGAAAUUCAGCUCCUUCAUUCAACUGCUUCAGACUCUCAAAAAUAGUUCUGAUUUCAUUCACUCAGCUGCGUUGGCGUUCCAAAGUGAAGGUACUCAUGGCUGGAGGUUCUGACUAGCUUUGGAGUAUCGAGAGGACCUGGCUGGUCUUGACAGGAAAUUUGAUAAUCAAUUGACCUUGCAAAGCUAAUGACAACCGGGGCCGGGUCACUACACUUCAAGGAAAGGUAAACUUGAGCUCCCCUCAAAGUCUGGGAAAGUUGGCUCCUGUGUCUCUCAGAGACAAGCUCAGAACCUUUAAGAAUGAUGGCCCUUUACCUGUUUCCUUCCUUCCUUUCUGUUUUUCCUCGGGACGGCCUCCGUGUCUGUAAAGCCAAAUGAAAAGGGAGAUGGUCUAUUCCAAACCAUGGAGGUGAGAUUAUCUCUGCUACCCUUAGCCGGACAGGAAGGAGCAGUGUUGCGAACUGCUGGCUCUGUCUAAAAUGACAAGAAAGGAGAAGCAUGGGGCCCCGCCCUGCUGUCCACGAUGAAGGCAGCAGUCCUCAAGAUGCAGCUGCUUGAAUAGAAAUGUCCACCAGCGUCCUCACUUCAUAGCUAGAAAUGAAGGCAAAGUGCUUGAAUCAUGUCAUCAAAAGCCCCAGAGACUGCAAAAUCUGAGAGUAACAGCUAGUCAUAGAGGCUGAGGUGUCUUAAGAAUUUCAAUGUCUGCAGGGCAUGGUACUGUGUGUGUUUCGCACCAUAUUUCAUCUAAUUCUCCCAACCUCCCUGAGUCGUAGGCUGUAGUGGGUAGCUGUUCCAGCUUUGACCUGGAAGUACCACCCCCAAUGAGGAUUCCAGCGGGGGGGAGGAGAGAGGAGCCCUUAAGACCCAAGAUCCAAAUGUGCCUGCUCUCUUGGUUCCUGGAUCCUGGAUGCUGGAUGCUGGAUGUAGACUGAGCAGAGUUCUCCAGAGAACCCAACUGGACUGCACUACACCUCUCCGGACCGUGUAACCAAUCCCUUUACUUGUAAGUUACCCCACAAAAUAAAUCUCCCCUUUACGUGGAGUUGCCUUAAUACUUCCACCGAUAGUAGGCUCUUAACAUUACCCCCAGAAAUGAAAGCAAAGCUACAGAAUGGUAGAUUGAAGACUCAAGCAUGGCACAGUGCAGCACCCCAACAGCUGGUCCCGUGGUUGAGGGUUUGGGGAGGUAUCUGUGACCAGUCUGGGGGUCCCUGGGAGCUGGCGGUGUUUGAAGUGGAAGAAUAGCAAGACCAGGUGCAGAGGAGAGCUGGCAUUGACUUCAGGGGCCAUUGUACUGGGCUCUUAUAAAUUCGAAGAACAUCACUGGGCAGGCAGAAACCUCUUAAACCAACAGUCUUCCUGGACCACAGGUCAGAGCUUGACAUCUGGUCCCGUUACCACAAGAAAGAAACACACGCUCUCUGCUAGCUGUUAUUUGACUUGUUUUACACAGAAGGGAUUUAACAGGAGUGUCUAUAUAACAUGGAUCUCAAUUAAAAAGCAGUUCAUAUUCUAUGUUUUGCUAAGGACAUUUUUCAAACACUAAUUGAUCAAGCUGGGAUUACACGCCACGAUCAGACAUCUUUUGUUUGUGUUAAUUUUUUUUUCAGCCUCACCCUUUCUUUCCUCCAAAUUUAAUAAAUCUGCAUUGGAUAUGC